Molecule: unclassified non-coding RNA, 250 nt
Filed under: plant metagenome
Description: partial contains small subunit ribosomal RNA, internal transcribed spacer 1, and 5.8S ribosomal RNA
Source: RNAcentral
GUAGGUGAACCUGCGGAAGGAUCAUUAACAAAAUCUACAACACUAACCAUGUUGAACUGUUGGGCAAGCAGAGGGGGGAUCCUUUUCUCCACCUCUGGUCAUCGUCAUACGUAUGACCAGAGUGAGAGGGGAAGAGGAGGGUAGAGGGUCAAAGGACAGCAAGAGGACGACCCCCAAGGGUCUCUUCUCCCCUUAGGGGGGGGGGAGAGAAUUCUAGUCGGUCGGUCGUCGCAUCUCUGGCCUUUGGUCU